UUUAUCCUUAAGGGUUCGAAUCCCUUUUUUUCCGAAAAGGAAAAGAUAAGGAAUGUAAAAAAAAGAAUAUAAAAGGAAUAUUGAUAAAUAUUAAGGUGAUAAUAUAUAAGAGUUAUAUUGUUGUUAUAAUUUCAAAUAUUAUAAUUAUAGAUAAUACUCUAAAAAAGGGAAACCAAAAUAUAAAAACGAAGUGAACUGAAACAUCUAAGUAACUUCAGGAAAAUAAAUCAACCGAGAUUUCAUUAGUAGCGGUGAGCGAACAUGAAGAAGCCUAAAAAUUUAAUAAUAUUAAUGAAGAUUAAAUAAUAUUAAUAUAUUAAAUAUAAAUGAUUAAGUAAUACGAUUAUAAUUGUAUGAAUAAAGGGGUACCUUCCUCUAAGGCUAAAUAAAUAUUAUCACAGAAAGUACCGUGAGGGAAAAAUAUUAAUCAGUGUUCUUUUGAGCAGUCUAAGCGUACUCUUAAAAUGAGAAAUGUGAAGGCGUACCUUUUGUAUAAUGGGUCUGCAAGUUAAUAUAAGUUGCGAGCAUAAAUUGCCAAGAGAAAACAAUUUAUUAAUAAGAAUUAGUAGCUUAUAUUAGACCCGAAAGUUAGUGAUCUUAUCUUGAUCAGGAUGUACUUGUGAUAAGUUUUAAAAUCUUAUCCUUGUUAGACCGAACGGGUUAAUGUAGCAAUAUUAUCCGAUGAAUUGAGAUAAGAAGUGAAAGACAAAUCUGACUAACAUAUAGCUGGUUUUCUGCGAAACAUAUUAAAGUAUGGUGUUUAAUUAACUUUUUUUACUUGGUACAGCACUUAAUCUGGACUGGGGAUCAUUAUGGUUUUACUUUUUAGAUUUAAACUCGGAAUAAGUAACAAAAAAAAUUAAAUACUCAGACAUUCUGCGAUAAGGUGGUUUGUCAAAAGGGAAACAGCCCUGAACAAAAUUCUAAAGUUCCAUAAUUUUUAUUAAGUGAAAGAAAGGAGAUACUUAAUCUUAUGCGACCAGUUAAUGGGCUUGACAAUAGCUUCUUUUUAAUGAACAUGUAACAAUGCACUGGUUUUAUUCAUUUAUAUGGAUAAAGUAUCCCGAAGAUACUCGGAUCUAAAAUAAUAUACUGAAAUUUUGUCAUUAUUUAUAUAUUUUUUAUAUUAAUGGGUAGCAGAAUAAUUUAGAUAAUUUUAUUAAUCUUUUUAUAUAUUAUAUAAUAUUAUAGAGAUAAUAUUAUUUUAAGUGAUUCAUUUAAAAUAUUAAUACUAAAUAAGCGAAUGCUAGACAUAAGUAACUAAAAGGACACAAAAAGUCCUAACCUUAAAGCAUAAAACGAAAUAAAGAAAACUUAAGAAUAUACGGUCUCUAAAUUAAUUUGUGAAAGGAAAUAAUGAUGAGAAUAAUUAAAAAAACUAUUAAUAAUGUUAUAGGGUAAUUUACAUUAUUAUAUAAGUUCAUUAUAUUAAUUAAGAUUAUACUGUUUAAUAUAAUCCAGGAAAAACUAAUAUAUAAUUAACCGUACGAACACCGUUUAAAGGAAUGCUGGUAGAGAAUACUAAGGUUAAAGAGAAAACUAUCGCGAAGGAACUCGGCAAAAAUGCUCCAUACGUUUGACAAUAAGGAGUACCUUUAUUUUAUAAUAUAUUAAUUUAUUAGAAAAUUUAUAUAAAUUAAUGAAUCCCUAUUAAUGGUUAUAAAAUAAUAUUAAGGUAGCAUUAAAUUUAGUUGUACAACUGUUUACUUAAAACAUAGCACUUUGCUAAGAUAAAAAUCUUUGUAUAAGGUGUGAACUCUGCCCAAUGACAUAGGAUGAAUAAUAGAUCUCAAAUAUAAUAUAUAUUAAUAAGUUGUAACAAAAUAUUAAUAUAUUUAUAUUAAAAUAGGUGAUAUGAUAAAUCUUGAACAAAUGGCGGCCUUAACGUGAGGGUCCUAAGGUAGCGAAAUUCCUUGUCCGCUAAAUACGGUCCCGCAUGAAUGACGAAAUGAUACAACGACUGUCUCCGCGAAAGACUCAGUGAAAUUGAAUUCGCAGUGAAGAUGCUGCGUACUUGUAGCUAGACGGAAAGACCCUAUGCAGCUUUACUACUUUAAGAUGUGGCUAUAGAGUUAAAAAUUGAAAGGUAAUCGAUUAGAUACAACUUAAAACCUUUAGUUUUUUAAUUCACUGCUUAUAUAUUAUAUAUUAGCUUAUACCCAUUAUUAGAUUUAAUUUAUUGUUUAAUUAUUUUUCCUAGAAAUAUUUAAAAUAAUAUUUUAAUUUUAAUAAUUUUUGUUAAUUUUUAUAUACAACAUCUUUUAGGUAGUUUUAGUGGGGCGCUAAUAUCAGAAAGAGUAUCUGAUAUGCCUAUAUUACUUAAUAAUUUUUUAUGGAUAAAUUUAACUUUAUUCAAGACUGCUAUUUAGUCUUUAAAUAUUGUAUGGUUCCAACUAUAAGGUAAGUAGUUAAAGAUAAUUUUAGUAAAAAAAUUUUAUUAUUUAUUAAAAACUUAUAUAUUAUAUGUAUAAUAUAUUAAUUUGAAUUUUUUGAAGAGCGAAAUGGUAUAACCAUGCAACAACUGUAAAACUCACAAGUUUAACAGGCACGCAAGUGGGGCAUAUUGAUCAGGAUAAUCAUCAUGGAAUGGUUUCUGUUUAACGGAUAAAGUUACGCUAGGGAUAACAGGCUGAUCGCGCGCGAGAGUUCAAAUUGGCUGCGCGGCUUGGCACCUCGAUGUCGACUCAACCUAUCCUCCAGGUAGCAGAAGCUUGGAAGGGUUCGGCUGUUCGCCGAUUAAAAGGUUACGCGAGUUGGGUUAAGUACGUUGUGAGACAGUACGGUCCCUAUCUACUACAAGAUGAUGUGUAUAAUUAGAAUAGCGCAUUAGUACGA
This 2835-nucleotide ribosomal RNA is filed under the name Lipomyces kononenkoae. RNAcentral describes it as "bacterial LSU rRNA". It matches the Rfam family "Bacterial large subunit ribosomal RNA". Lineage: Eukaryota; Fungi; Ascomycota; Lipomycetes; Lipomycetales; Lipomycetaceae. The record is from RNAcentral.